This 460-nucleotide ribosomal RNA is filed under the name uncultured bacterium. Its description in RNAcentral is "partial 16S ribosomal RNA". It matches the Rfam family "Bacterial small subunit ribosomal RNA", at positions 338 to 795 of the family's 1533-position model. The record is from RNAcentral.
CCUACGGGAGGCAGCAGUGAGGAAUAUUGGUCAAUGGACGAGAGUCUGAACCAGCCAAGUAGCGUGAAGGAUGACUGCCCUAUGGGUUGUAAACUUCUUUUAUAUGGGAAUAAAAUGUUCCACGUGUGGGAUUUUGUAUGUACCAUAUGAAUAAGGAUCGGCUAACUCCGUGCCAGCAGCCGCGGUAAUACGGAGGAUCCGAGCGUUAUCCGGAUUUAUUGGGUUUAAAGGGAGCGUAGGUGGAUUGUUAAGUCAGUUGUGAAAGUUUGCGGCUCAACCGUAAAAGUGCAGUUGAAACUGGCAGUCUGGAGUACAGUAGAGGUGGGCGGAAUUCGUGGUGUAGCGGUGAAAUGCUUAGAUAUCACGAAGAACUCCGAGUGCGAAGGCAGCUCACUGGACUGCAACUGACACUGAGGCUCGAAAGUGUGGGUAUCAAACAGGAUUAGAUACCCGAGUAGUC